UGACUUAUGGUGGUGAUAAUGAGGUGGAGGUGGUGAGUUAUACUUGUAAAUAGUUGGAGGAGGUGGUGAGUUGUAGUGGCAAGGAUGAGAUGGUGGUGGUGGUGACUUGUAAUGGUAGGGGUGAUGAUGAUGGUGGUGGUGAGGAGGUGGUGGUGACUUGUGGUGGUAAAGAGGUGGUGGUGGUGGUGAUUUGUGUAUGUAAGUAGGAGGUGGUGGAGGUGGUGAAUUGUAAUGGUAGGGGGGGAGUUGAUGGUAAGGUGGUGGUGGUGGUGAUUUAUACUUAUAAAGAGGAGGAGGUGGAGGUGGUGACUUGUAAUAGUAGGGUGGAAGUUGAUGUUGAGGAGGUGGUGGUGAUUUAUACUUAUAAAGAGGAGGAGGAGGUGGUGGUGGUGACUUAUAAUGGUAGGGUGGAAGUUGAUGGUAAGGAGGUGGUGGUGAUGACUCAUGGUAGUGAAGAGGAGGUGGUGGUGGUGAUUUAUACUUGUAAAUAGGAGGUGGAGGUGGUGACUUGUAAUGGUAGGGGGGGAAUUGAUGGUGAGAAGGGGGUGGAGGUGACUUGUAGUGGUAAAGUGGUGGAGGUGGUGACUUGUAGAGGUAAUG
RNAcentral lists this long non-coding RNA (600 nucleotides) under Ananas comosus (pineapple). RNAcentral describes it as "long non-coding RNA (ACOM_LNC001623)". The record is from RNAcentral. Lineage: Eukaryota; Viridiplantae; Streptophyta; Magnoliopsida; Poales; Bromeliaceae.